AGAGUUUGAUCCUGGCUCAGAACGAACGCUGGCGGCGUGGAUAAGACAUGCAAGUCGAACGAGAGAAUUGCUAGCUUGCUAAUAAUUCUCUAGUGGCGCACGGGUGAGUAACACGUGAGUAACCUGCCCCCGAGAGCGGGAUAGUCCUGGGAAACUGGGAUUAAUACCGCAUAGAAUCGCAAGAUUAAAGUAGCAAUGCGCUUGGGGAUGGGCUCGCGGCCUAUAAGUUAGUUGGUGAGGUAACGGCUCACCAAGGCGAUGACGGGUAGCCGGUCUGAGAGGAUGUCCGGCCACACUGGAACUGAGACACGGUCCAGACACCUACGGGUGGCAGCAGUCGAGAAUCAUUCACAAUGGGGGAAACCCUGAUGGUGCGACGCCGCGUGGGGGAAUGAAGGUCUUCGGAUUGUAAACCCCUGUCAUGUGGGAGCAAAUUAAAAAGAUAGUACCACAAGAGGAAGAGACGGCUAACUCUGUGCCAGCAGCCGCGGUAAUACAGAGGUCUCAAGCGUUGUUCGGAAUCACUGGGCGUAAAGCGUGCGUAGGCUGUUUCGUAAGUCGUGUGUGAAAGGCGCGGGCUCAACCCGCGGACGGCACAUGAUACUGCGAGACUAGAGUAAUGGAGGGGGAACCGGAAUUCUCGGUGUAGCAGUGAAAUGCGUAGAUAUCGAGAGGAACACUCGUGGCGAAGGCGGGUUCCUGGACAUUAACUGACGCUGAGGCACGAAGGCCAGGGGAGCGAAAGGGAUUAGAUACCCCUGUAGUCCUGGCAGUAAACGGUGCACGCUUGGUGUGCGGGGAAUCGACCCCCUGCGUGCCGGAGCUAACGCGUUAAGCGUGCCGCCUGGGGAGUACGGUCGCAAGAUUAAAACUCAAAGAAAUUGACGGGGACCCGCACAAGCGGUGGAGUAUGUGGCUUAAUUCGAUGCAACGCGAAGAACCUUACCUGGGCUUGACAUGUAAUGAACAACAUGUGAAAGCAUGCGACUCUUCGGAGGCGUUACACAGGUGCUGCAUGGCCGUCGUCAGCUCGUGUCGUGAGAUGUUUGGUUAAGUCCAGCAACGAGCGCAACCCCUGUUGCCAGUUACCAGCACGUGAAGGUGGGGACUCUGGCGAGACUGCCCAGAUCAACUGGGAGGAAGGUGGGGACGACGUCAGGUCAGUAUGGCCCUUAUGCCCAGGGCUGCACACGUACUACAAUGCCCAGUACAGAGGGGGCCGAAGCCGCGAGGCGGAGGAAAUCCUAAAAACUGGGCCCAGUUCGGACUGUAGGCUGCAACCCGCCUACACGAAGCCGGAAUCGCUAGUAAUGGCGCAUCAGCUACGGCGCCGUGAAUACGUUCCCGGGUCUUGCACACACCGCCCGUCA
Molecule: ribosomal RNA, 1370 nt
Filed under: uncultured bacterium
Lineage: Bacteria
Description: bacterial SSU rRNA
Rfam family: Bacterial small subunit ribosomal RNA
Source: RNAcentral